RNAcentral lists this transfer RNA (87 nucleotides) under Stratiformator vulcanicus. Its description in RNAcentral is "Planctomycetes bacterium Pan189 tRNA-Ser". It matches the Rfam family "tRNA". From Rfam's summary of the family: Transfer RNA (tRNA) molecules are approximately 80 nucleotides in length. Their secondary structure includes four short double-helical elements and three loops (D, anti-codon, and T loops). Lineage: Bacteria; Pseudomonadati; Planctomycetota; Planctomycetia; Planctomycetales; Planctomycetaceae. The record is from RNAcentral.
GCCCAGGUGGCGGAAUUGGCAGACGCGCUAGGUUCAGGUCCUAGUGUCCUUAAACGGACGUGGAGGUUCGAGUCCUCUCUUGGGCAC